AGUCCUUCGCCGUCCCUCGCCGUCCUUCGCCAUCGCACGCCACCGCACCCCAUCUCUCGAAAUCUGCAGACAUCUUGAUUUUUCCCACGCUGUCUGUCAGGUCUCCGCCGCCACUCGACGCCAGGGCGCCGGGCCUUGUGGGCUGUGCUGCACCUCGGACGGCUUCGCACCAGCCAGCGCCCUCUCUCUCCUGCAGCACUCUGAUCUGCACCCCCUGAGGGGCUUCCACUGUCCGCGGGGUGAGAAUGCCCCUGGGAGUGUCACAUGACUGCCGCCCCAUGUGUGUGAGAGGCGUCCUCUGGGAGAGCAUGGAUCCUGAGGUCCCAGGAACAUCCCGAGAGCCAAGUUCCCAGAUGCCAGCCAAGGGCCAUCUGACCUGUUUUGAAUCUCAAUUUCCUGAUACAGAAAACAAAGGAUUGUCAGCUGACCUCUGUCCUGUGUGCCCAGUGGCCCCAGGUGACGUGUCUUCAAGAAGAGGCUGAGCUGCGGUGCUUGUAAGAGUCAUGUGCUGUUCCUGGGGCUUGGAUGAUGUAGGGGAAGCAAGGUGAAAGUGGUAUCCCGUGGUUCCACGUUCUGUCCUGCUGUGGGGCUGUCCCUCACAUGCUUUCAGUGGCUGUUGCAGAGGAAGAGCCUCCGGAAAUCUGCGUGGGUAAAGUCUCAGCCUUAGAUCCAAGGACAGUCCAAGGAAGUCCUAAGACCAUGGAGUUGGUGAUCUGGGAUCUGGGUUUGCUGAUAUUUCUCACCGUGAAUCUCUUGGUGGUGUUUGUGGGCACGAGAGGGGCAGAGAAUGGAGAGUGAGGCUACCACAUGAAGCGUCACCAGAGCUGCUCCCUGCUGCCUGCUCAGAGCACCCCGGAUCCACUGUUCAAUCUGCACAAGAUUCGGGGUCCAGACAUGGGAGACUUCAGCUGCCUCAGAGGACCGUGGACAGGGAAGGCCAGCCUCGCAUCCCUCUGUCCAUGCCUGGAAUGACUUUAAUAACCAAGAGUUUUAUUUUUGAAUUUGUAGCUGUCGUUCACUUUUUACCCACCCAUUCAAUAAACCUUACAGAAUUGCUCCA
Molecule: long non-coding RNA, 1060 nt
Filed under: Homo sapiens (human)
Lineage: Eukaryota; Metazoa; Chordata; Mammalia; Primates; Hominidae
Description: small nucleolar RNA host gene 17, transcript variant 20 (SNHG17)
Source: RNAcentral